Molecule: long non-coding RNA, 1035 nt
Filed under: Calidris pygmaea (Spoon-billed sandpiper)
Lineage: Eukaryota; Metazoa; Chordata; Aves; Charadriiformes; Scolopacidae
Description: lncRNA (ENSCPGG00000004898.1)
Source: RNAcentral
AUUUCUAGUAAAAGCAGGAGUCCAACAUUCUGCCUAAUUGGCUUUUCUGUUUAAUUUACAGUACAUUAAGGAAAGGCUGGUCUGAAGCUCAGUAGUACCAUUGGUUUCCUCAUGGUUGCUUCAUUUUGAGCACGUCUCAGUACAAGGCAGGCAACUUUGUCUAAGGCUGUUUGGAAAUGGAAAUUAAUAUCAAUACAUUCUCCUUUCACCGGUGUUUUGGUGAACUUUUCAGGAAGCAUGAAGGAAAGGAAUGACAUGAUUUUUCUUUACAAAAGUGCAUCUACACACUGAUUUAGCAAACUGCAUAUGAAAGGAGGGAUGUAAACAGACUUUGACUGUGCCUAUAUGGAGAUCUUGGACCCUGUUAUGCCUUGUAUUGAUCUGGAGGUCAACCAGAACAUGCUUAUUCUGGAGCAGAACAAUAAGAUGGAGAUAACAGAACAGGUACCUGAUCCCUUGGCUGAGUAUAAACUGAUGUUCUUGAUGAUCUGGGAAAAAAGAAAAGGCCCGCUGAAGUUCUUGGCUUCUAUGAUGUCUUGUGGCAUUCAACUCUUUAAACUAAAUCUGUAUAAUGAAAGCAAAUUUUCCUUUUCAAGAGGCUGGAAAUGCAUUACUUCACUAAAAAGUACCUUUUUUGUGUGUGAUAUGGAGCAUACAAACUGAUCCGUUGGAACGCAAAAUUAUAACGUACAGAUUUAUGCAAGAGGGAUGACUGCAAAGUGCGUUGCAUGAGUAGUGUAAGAAGCUGAAAAUUGCUGCUGUUGUAGCUGUCAUAGACAUGUUAUUUUCUUUGGUAUGUGUGGAGUUUUUGCUGUCAGGCUUUUAUCCUGCAGAUUGUUUGUGCUGCACCUCUCUUCCUGCUUAAAAUAGAAAAUCAGUCACUGAACCUGGAUACUAUUAAGUGUUCUUAGAAUAGUUCUUAACUAACUUGGUUGAUUUGUGCUUUCUGAUGAAAGAACAUUUGGUUGUUUAUUGCAGGCUCUGAACAAACAUGUUCUUCCAAAAUCAACAAAUAAAAUUACAUAUUGCAUUGCA